GACGAACGCUGGCGGCGUGCUUAACACAUGCAAGUCGAGCGGUAAGGCCCGUUUCGGGGGUACACGAGCGGCGAACGGGUGAGUAACACGUGGGUGACCUGCCCUCAGCUCUGGGAUAAGCCUAGGGAAACCGGGUCUAAUACUGGAUAUGACUCCAUGACGCAUGUUGUGGGGUGGAAAGCCUUGUGCGGCUGAGGAUGGGCCCGCGGCCUAUCAGCUUGUUGGUGGGGGAUGGCCUACCAAGGCGACGACGGGUAGCCGGCCUGAGAGGGCGACCGGCCACACUGGGACUGAGACACGGCCCAGACUCCGUACGGGGGCAGCAGUGGGGAAUCUUGCGCAAGUGGGCGAAAGCCUGACGCAGCGACGCCGCGUGAGG
RNAcentral lists this ribosomal RNA (379 nucleotides) under uncultured bacterium. RNAcentral's name for it is "bacterial SSU rRNA". It matches the Rfam family "Bacterial small subunit ribosomal RNA", at positions 28 to 406 of the family's 1533-position model. The record is from RNAcentral.